Alosa sapidissima (American shad) is the source of this 694-nucleotide long non-coding RNA. RefSeq lists it as uncharacterized. Lineage: Eukaryota; Metazoa; Chordata; Actinopteri; Clupeiformes; Clupeidae. The transcript is spliced from 4 exons. The record is from RefSeq and is a predicted model, not a curated record.
UUAGAUCAAAUGUGCAGCAAAUGUGCACUGUCGACUCGACAGUCUUGUCUGCUGAAGUCGUUCACACAAGAUGAGUAACACGAGUAACGAACUCAUUUAAAUUUAAGUAAUAUUGCUUAAAAAAUAUUCUACGUUUCAUGCUCGUGGAAUGCGUUACUCCCAAUACUGGGGAAGACUUAUUAGGCUACAUUUAUCAUUUUUACCGAAUAUCUGAAUUUUGAGGGUCUUUCUGUGAGGCUGAAUAUCAUCAGCAGCAUGCAAUGGCUAGCUACAAGGAAAUGGGGUCUGCCUACCCUGCCAGGGCCUGGGCUCUGAAGGCUGGCAGGUGGACGCGGGCCUGGACUCUCCCUCUAACACUCAUUAGUGGCGCAGAGCCCGGGCUCCCUGUGAGUGGGAAGGCAGGGAUCACAGCGGGGAAGUGAUGGCCCGGGCCUCUCACAUCCCGGCUCAGCCCUCGCUCCGGCUCCUUCAGCCUCCCUGGAAGCUCAUUAAUGUGAACUGAAGUGCAACAGGAAUGUGAAACUACAGAAGCAUGAAGCUGAAUGCUUUGGAGGUUUUCUGCGGUCACUAUUGAGUGCUAUUCAAGAAAGAAGGUCAGCUCCCAAACCAAGGCCAGACAAAAGGUGAGAUGAGGCAAGCGAAGCAAUCUUUGGUCAAUAUGAAACAGAAAAUCUCCCCACAAUACUGACAUGAA